This 242-nucleotide ribosomal RNA is filed under the name Xanthomonas citri pv. citri. Its description in RNAcentral is "partial 16S ribosomal RNA". It matches the Rfam family "Bacterial small subunit ribosomal RNA", at positions 551 to 792 of the family's 1533-position model. Lineage: Bacteria; Pseudomonadati; Pseudomonadota; Gammaproteobacteria; Lysobacterales; Lysobacteraceae. The record is from RNAcentral.
UUACUGGGCGUAAAGCGCGCGUAGGUGGUUCAGCAAGUUGGAUGUGAAAUCCCCGGGCUCAACCUGGGAACUGCAUCCAAAACUACUGAGCUAGAGUACGGUAGAGGGUGGUGGAAUUUCCUGUGUAGCGGUGAAAUGCGUAGAUAUAGGAAGGAACACCAGUGGCGAAGGCGACCACCUGGACUGAUACUGACACUGAGGUGCGAAAGCGUGGGGAGCAAACAGGAUUAGAUACCCUUGUA